Molecule: unclassified non-coding RNA, 242 nt
Filed under: rhizosphere metagenome
Description: partial ribosomal RNA internal transcribed spacer region
Source: RNAcentral
GUAGGUGAACCUGCGGAAGGAUCAUUACCGAGUUUGGGUCCCUUGUGGGCUCGGCCUCCAAACCCUCUGUCUACCUUACCUCUUGUUGCUUCGGCGAGCCCGUCUUUAAUCGGACCGCCAGAGGGCUUUACCGUCCUCUGGCCUGCGCCCGUCGGUGGCCAUUAAAUUAUUGUUCAAAACGUGUCGUCUGAAGUAAUAAACAAAAUAAGUAAAAACUUUCAACAACGGAUCUCUUGGUUCUG